GACGAACGCUGGCGGCGUGCUUAACACAUGCAAGUCGAACGGAAAGGCCUGCUUUCCCUUGUGGAUUGCGGGUACUCGAGUGGCGAACGGGUGAGUAACACGUGAGUGAUCUGCCCCCAACUUGGGUAUAAGCCUGGGAAACUGGGUCUAAUUCCCGAUAGGACUGCAGGGUGGAGCCUGUGGUGGAAAACGAUUUUCUAGUGGUUGGGGAUGAGCUCGCGGCCUAUCAGCUUGUUGGUGGGGUAAUGGCCUACCAAGGCGGCGACGGGUAGCCGGCCUGAGAGGGUGGACGGCCACAUUGGGACUGAGAUACGGCCCAGACUCCUACGGGAGGCAGCAGUGGGGUAUAUUGCACAAUGGGCGGAAGCCUGAUGCAGCGACGCCGCGUGGGGGAUGACGGCCUUCGGGUUGUAAACUCCUUUCGACCGCGAGGAAGCCACCUGGUUGGAAGGGUGGUGACGGUAGUGGUAGAAGAAGCACCGGCUAACUACGUG
Molecule: ribosomal RNA, 494 nt
Filed under: uncultured bacterium
Lineage: Bacteria
Description: partial 16S ribosomal RNA
Rfam family: Bacterial small subunit ribosomal RNA
Source: RNAcentral